Molecule: non-coding RNA, 68 nt
Organism: Potamilus streckersoni
Lineage: Eukaryota; Metazoa; Mollusca; Bivalvia; Unionida; Unionidae
Source: the annotation of a GenBank genome assembly
GGUGGCUUAGUGGUUAGAGCAUCCGCCUCGAAUGCGGUAGGUCGAAGUUUCGAACCACGGACUAGUCA